This 262-nucleotide ribosomal RNA is filed under the name uncultured archaeon. RNAcentral describes it as "partial 16S ribosomal RNA". It matches the Rfam family "Archaeal small subunit ribosomal RNA", at positions 748 to 1009 of the family's 1478-position model. The record is from RNAcentral.
CAGCCGUAAACUAUGCGCGUUAGGUGUAUCGGUGACCACGAGUUACCGAGGUGCCGAAGGGAAACCGUGAAACGUGCCGCCUGGGAAGUACGGUCGCAAGGCUGAAACUUAAAGGAAUUGGCGGGGGAGGCACCACAACAGGUGGAGCCUGCGGUUUAAUUGGACUCAACGCCGGGAAGCUCACCGGAUAGGACAGCAGAAUGAUUGCCGGGCUGAAGACCCUGCAUGACUAGCUGAGAGGAGGUGCAUGGCGUAGACGUCU